AUCACUUCUUGACCUUUUGGCUAAGAUCAAACAUGUGUCUAUUUUUAUCAGCUUAAUAUCUGAUACAUCCCCUAUCUGAGAACAAUAUUUUAAAUAGAUUUGGGAGCUUUCUCCACCUAUU
Molecule: small nuclear RNA, 121 nt
Filed under: Mesocricetus auratus (golden hamster)
Lineage: Eukaryota; Metazoa; Chordata; Mammalia; Rodentia; Cricetidae
Description: U2 spliceosomal RNA
Rfam family: U2 spliceosomal RNA
About the family: U2 is a small nuclear RNA (snRNA) component of the spliceosome (involved in pre-mRNA splicing).
Source: Rfam by way of RNAcentral